Molecule: ribosomal RNA, 491 nt
Filed under: uncultured bacterium
Lineage: Bacteria
Description: bacterial SSU rRNA
Rfam family: Bacterial small subunit ribosomal RNA
Source: RNAcentral
AAAUGAAUAGACGGGGACCCGCACAAGCAGCGGAGCAUGUGGUUUAAUUCGAAGCAACGCGAAGAACCUUACCGGGACUUGACAUCCUUCUGACAGACCCUUAACCGGGUCCUCCUACGGGCAGAAGAGACAGGUGGUGCAUGGUUGUCGUCAGCUCGUGUCGUGAGAUGUUGGGUUAAGUCCCGCAACGAGCGCAACCCUUGUCAUUAGUUGCUACCCUUCAGUUGAGCACUCUAAUGAGACUGCCGGGGAUAACUCGGAGGAAGGUGGGGAUGACGUCAAAUCAUCAUGCCCCUUAUGUUCCGGGCUACACACGUGCUACAAUGGCCGGCACAACGAGAGGCGAAGCCGCGAGGUGGAGCGAAUCUUCCAAAACCGGCCCCAGUUCGGAUUGCAGGCUGCAACUCGCCUGCAUGAAGCCGGAGUUGCUAGUAAUCGCGGAUCAGAAUGCCGCGGUGAAUGCGUUCCCGGGUCUUGUACACACCGCCCGU